UUAAGGUGUAAAGCAUGAUACUUCCUUUCGAUUUAAUCACAACAGGUAGAGAAGUUAUUGAUUUAAUCACAACAGGUAGAGAAGUUAUUUUACAGAAUUAUGGAAAUACAGUUAAUGUAAAUAUUGUAAAACUAAA
This is a long non-coding RNA of Mercenaria mercenaria, 136 nucleotides long. RefSeq lists it as uncharacterized. The record is from RefSeq and is a predicted model, not a curated record. The transcript is spliced from 2 exons. NCBI's taxonomy places the organism in Eukaryota, Metazoa, Mollusca, Bivalvia, Venerida, Veneridae.